This 216-nucleotide long non-coding RNA is filed under the name Manihot esculenta (cassava). RNAcentral's name for it is "long non-coding RNA (MESC_LNC012963)". The record is from RNAcentral. Lineage: Eukaryota; Viridiplantae; Streptophyta; Magnoliopsida; Malpighiales; Euphorbiaceae.
UAUGGUCUAGCACGGUUAUGGGACUUGAAGACCAGGAGCCAGAGGAGGCCCUGGAAAAAUGGUAAGUAAUGUAUGUUCUGACUGGAAAGACCAGGACCCCAUUCUACAGGCCUGGCACAGAGUUAACUUGGACUAAUUGGUGACGAGUUCACCCAACCCUUAUGUGAAUUGUUUGUGUUAUGAUGCAUUUCAUAGAGCAUAGUGUUAACGUGUUUU